This 546-nucleotide ribosomal RNA is filed under the name bacterium b1cb40. Its description in RNAcentral is "bacterial SSU rRNA". It matches the Rfam family "Bacterial small subunit ribosomal RNA", at positions 921 to 1463 of the family's 1533-position model. The record is from RNAcentral.
CCGCACAAGCAGUGGAGUAUGUGGUUUAAUUCGAAGCAACGCGAAGAACCUUACCAAGUCUUGACAUCCCUCUGAAUCCUCUAGAGAUAGAGGCGGCCUUCGGGACAGAGGUGACAGGUGGUGCAUGGUUGUCGUCAGCUCGUGUCGUGAGAUGUUGGGUUAAGUCCCGCAACGAGCGCAACCCUUGAUUUUAGUUGCCAGCACAUNAUGGUGGGCACUCUAGAAUGACUGCCGGUGACAAACCGGAGGAAGGCGGGGAUGACGUCAAAUCAUCAUGCCCCUUAUGACUUGGGCUACACACGUACUACAAUGGCUGGUACAACGGGAAGCGAAGCCGCGAGGUGGAGCCAAUCCUAUAAAAGCCAGUCUCAGUUCGGAUUGCAGGCUGCAACUCGCCUGCAUGAAGUCGGAAUUGCUAGUAAUCGCGGAUCAGCAUGCCGCGGUGAAUACGUUCCCGGGUCUUGUACACACCGCCCGUCACACCACGAGAGUUUACAACACCCGAAGUCGGUGGGGUAACCCGCAAGGGAGCCAGCCGCCGAAGGU